Capsicum annuum is the source of this 72-nucleotide non-coding RNA. NCBI's taxonomy places the organism in Eukaryota, Viridiplantae, Streptophyta, Magnoliopsida, Solanales, Solanaceae. The record is from Rfam.
UCCUCAGUAGCUCAGUGGUAGAGAGGUCGAUUGUUAAUCGAUUGAUCGUAGGUUCGAAUCCUACUUGGGAAG